GUCGAUAUGUCCGAGUGGUUAAGGAGAUUGACUCGAAAUCAAUUGGGCUCUGCCCGCGCAGGUUCGAAUCCUGCUGUCGACG
Molecule: transfer RNA, 82 nt
Filed under: Brassica carinata (Ethiopian mustard)
Lineage: Eukaryota; Viridiplantae; Streptophyta; Magnoliopsida; Brassicales; Brassicaceae
Also listed under: 1 other name
Rfam family: tRNA
About the family: Transfer RNA (tRNA) molecules are approximately 80 nucleotides in length.
Source: Rfam by way of RNAcentral